UACGUAGGGUCCGAGCGUUGUCCGGAAUUACUGGGCGUAAAGAGCUCGUAGGUGGUUUGUCGCGUUGUUCGUGAAAACUCACAGCUCAACUGUGGGCGUGCGGGCGAUACGGGCAGACUUGAGUACUGCAGGGGAGACUGGAAUUCCUGGUGUAGCGGUGGAAUGCGCAGAUAUCGGGAGGAACGCCGGUGGCGAAAGCGAUUCUCUGGCCCGUCCCUGACACUGAGGCGCGAGAGCUAGGGGAGCAAACAGG
This 253-nucleotide ribosomal RNA is filed under the name uncultured bacterium. RNAcentral's name for it is "partial 16S ribosomal RNA". It matches the Rfam family "Bacterial small subunit ribosomal RNA", at positions 524 to 776 of the family's 1533-position model. The record is from RNAcentral.